UCCACGAUAGCUCAAUCGGCAGAGCGGGUGGCUGUUAACCACUAGGUUCCAGGUUCGAGUCCUGGUCGUGGAGCCA
This 76-nucleotide transfer RNA is filed under the name Nocardiopsis sp. RNAcentral describes it as "tRNA-Asn(gtt)". It matches the Rfam family "tRNA". From Rfam's summary of the family: Transfer RNA (tRNA) molecules are approximately 80 nucleotides in length. Their secondary structure includes four short double-helical elements and three loops (D, anti-codon, and T loops). Lineage: Bacteria; Bacillati; Actinomycetota; Actinomycetes; Streptosporangiales; Nocardiopsidaceae. The record is from RNAcentral. RNAcentral also lists the same sequence under 5 other names.